This 497-nucleotide ribosomal RNA is filed under the name uncultured bacterium. RNAcentral's name for it is "partial 16S ribosomal RNA". It matches the Rfam family "Bacterial small subunit ribosomal RNA", at positions 28 to 507 of the family's 1533-position model. The record is from RNAcentral.
GACGAACGCUGGCGGCGUGCCUAAUACAUGCAAGUAGAACGCUGAAGAGAGGAGCUUGCUCUUCUUGGCUGAGUUGCGAACGGGUGAGUAACGCGUAGGUAACCUGCCUUGUAGCGGGGGAUAACUAUUGGAAACGAUAGCUAAUACCGCAUAACAAUGGAUGACACAUGUCAUUUAUUUGAAAGGGGCAAUUGCUCCACUACAAGAUGGACCUGCGUUGUAUUAGCUAGUAGGUGAGGUAACGGCUCACCUAGGCGACGAUACAUAGCCGACCUGAGAGGGUGAUCGGCCACACUGGGACUGAGACACGGCCCAGACUCCUACGGGAGGCAGCAGUAGGGAAUCUUCGGCAAUGGGGGCAACCCUGACCGAGCAACGCCGCGUGAGUGAAGAAGGUUUUCGGAUCGUAAAGCUCGGUUGUAAGUCAAGAACGAGUGUGAGAGUGGAAAGUUCACACUGUGACGGUAGCUUACCAGAAAGGGACGGCUAACUACGUG